AGGGCAAGGACCCGAACAAGAAGACCAAGAAAGAAGGGAUCUCCACAGGACCCAGUCGAUCCCACACUGAGAGGGAGGCCCCACCUUCUCAGCUAAGCCUGAGGCCAAACAACUUCAGCUCCAGGUAUCAUUCCUACACCCUUCUAACCACUCCUCAUGCGCAGCUCCUCAUGGAGGUAGAGGGGGAGAACUACCUUCGACGACCCUAGCUAAUGAAGAUAAGAGC
Molecule: long non-coding RNA, 226 nt
Filed under: Elaeis guineensis (African oil palm)
Lineage: Eukaryota; Viridiplantae; Streptophyta; Magnoliopsida; Arecales; Arecaceae
Description: long non-coding RNA (EGUI_LNC021875)
Source: RNAcentral